UACGAAGGGGGCUAGCGUUGCUCGGAAUUACUGGGCGUAAAGGGCGCGUAGGCGGACAGUUAAGUCAGAGGUGAAAGCCCAGGGCUCAACCUUGGAACUGCCUUUGAUACUGGCUGUCUAGAGUGCGGGAGAGGUGUGUGGAACUCCGAGUGUAGAGGUGAAAUUCGUAGAUAUUCGGAAGAACACCAGUGGCGAAGGCGACACACUGGCCCGUAACUGACGCUGAGGCGCGAAAGCGUGGGGAGCAAACAGG
This 253-nucleotide ribosomal RNA is filed under the name uncultured bacterium. Its description in RNAcentral is "partial 16S ribosomal RNA". It matches the Rfam family "Bacterial small subunit ribosomal RNA", at positions 524 to 776 of the family's 1533-position model. The record is from RNAcentral.